ACGACGAGGGCUAAAUCGGGGCAUCGCAUGUCUUGUGUGGCUAUGUGGUGUUCUAACACCGGGAUUUCCAGUUCUGCGAAGUUUUUCAGGUUUCCUAAUGACAACAGAGCAUUCUUGUCCGAAGCAACUGGACUGACCACGACGUGACACGCGAGCACUACGAGAACCUGGUCCGGAGAUCCCGCUUCGUCGAGAAAUUCAAUCAUCGCGAGAUGGACGAGCUGGUUCUCGACAGCCUCACCGCGUACUUCGCUAGCUACAUUCCGAGCUUGCCCGAGGCACGAGCCGUCGCCGUGGAAAUGGCAGAGGCGCAUGCGAGCGACGAGCAAAGCUCUUUGAUUGGCGUCCCCGCCGAUCAACUGUUUUUCCUCGUCAACUGCUUUACCCGCUGCGGCGAGGCUGGGACUGCGUAUGAAUUGCAGACGGUCAUCUGCAACUUGGCCUUGCCUUCCAUAACAACCUUCAGGCGAGCGUUCAAGUGCGAACAGCGUCAUCGACUGGUGACAAACUUUACAUGGCCCGAACCGGUCAACUCGAACCAUGCUGUUGCAACGUAGACGAUCGCGUGCACUUCCGGACACAUUCACAAACACUUGUAAAUGUUUUCAAGGCUUUAUUUCUGCCUUGAAGCAACUACGGCCUAAAUAUGCAUGAUAUAACUUCGACCUUAUCUUUCACGGUGAAAAAAAAAAUAUAUAUAUAUAUAUGGGAAUGAAUUCGCAAUGAGCACGCAUUCACACAAAAUAUUUGUCAGAUUAUCGGGGAGUCUUUAAUUAUAAACCAACAAAAUAGUUCUGGAUGGGCUCCAGUGUGUUCUAUUCCUCGCCACCAUUCUCAAAGGCGAACGUGACGACUUGGAAAACCCCAACACCUGCGAGAGAACAGACGAAGUUUAAUAAACAAUGACGCA
Molecule: long non-coding RNA, 910 nt
Organism: Dermacentor silvarum
Lineage: Eukaryota; Metazoa; Arthropoda; Arachnida; Ixodida; Ixodidae
Exons: 3
Source: RefSeq, a predicted model, not a curated record